Long non-coding RNA from Rattus norvegicus (Norway rat), 3133 nucleotides. NCBI's taxonomy places the organism in Eukaryota, Metazoa, Chordata, Mammalia, Rodentia, Muridae. The record is from Ensembl.
GAUCAAGAAAGAUGAAGACAACGUCAUCAACGCCUCCUCAUCUGUCGCCCUGCCCUGUGAUGCUGGAGGUCCUCUCUAGUGUCCCCAGUGUCAUCUGCAACCUCCAGGUCCCAGGGUUCAGCCUCCACAGGCUCUGCUGGUGAGCCAGGCCCAGACAGAAGAACAUGGCUUCCACAGCCUCCUGCCAGCUUUCUCAGCAUCAGGAAUCAGCACUCCUCACUGGUUAGCUCUUCCUUCUCUCCUUCACAGAUGAGACCUCUUUUUCCUUUCUGCUACUAGAAAGUCAAGGGCCUUUCCUCUUGGCCCAAACCUUUCAUCAAAAUAUCAUGCUGAGAGAAGUUCUCCAAAUGAAGGUAAACUCUCUCCGCCCUGCUCCCCUCCCUCUUCCCCUCCUUGCCCCUCCCCUUCCCUGCCCGGAGGAAAGAAGCUUGUUAACUUCGCACUAGAAGUGAGCUCAGGGCACCUAGACUUCCAGAGCAACCCCCAAGCAACCUCAGACUGUGUCAGGAGAAGAGUCAGUGCCUUUGAUUCUAAGUCCGGGUCAGAGGAAUAAAAAGAGACUUCCUCAUAACGUCGUGAAUUAGACGAAGAUGGAACCCAUAUCGGGAUUCUCCACUUCUCUCCCUGUGUCUUCUCCCACCCUCUGUGGCCUUUCUGUCUGUCUGUUGUCUGUCCCUAAGAAGGACUUUGCUGUGUGUCUACUGAACAGCACAAAAAUGCAGUAAUGGAAAGGAAUAAGAAAGUCUUUUCUAUAAAGAUUUUAAACAGUUUAAUAAGGGGGGGAAUGACUUUAUUAACCCAGAUGUCAGUCAAAAACCCCAUCCAGAUGUUACCAACCUAUAUCUACAUGCUGUUCCCAAUAUUUAUGAAAGAACAACAGAUUGGGCGGCGCCCUCCGGAAACCGUGAUGGUGAAUCUCUGUGCGGUGAACUGGUCAGUAUUCAUCUCCAGAUGGACACAGAAACAAUGUUUAUUGGCUACCUGGGCCUUUCAAUUGACCAUCACAAACACUGAUGCUGGAUCUCCUCCGUUAACACCUCUUUUCUUUCUCUGCUUCUUUGUUUUGUAUUUAGCUCCCUUAGUGUUUGUAGGCCCAUAUACAUAGGUCUGAGGUCGGCAUUUGAAUUAUGCAUAAGAAAUCUCCUAUAAAAAUCCAAUAUAUAAUUUUAAAUUUUUGCUAUCUAUAAUGAGUAACUGCAGCUGAGGCCUGAAGGCCCCAACAGGAGGCCAUACAUCUCUACCCUACCCUCUAAUCUGGCGGAACCAGCCCCCUUUCUGUAUUACAUGUCUCCAUUACUCACCAUGCAAUACCAAUUCCUCAGAAUUGAGAUUUUUAUCCUCUGAAACCCAGAUCUCAUUCAUCAACCUUGAAAGUACUGGGAGAAAACUCCAUCUUCCUGUUUUCUACCCUGCUCCCCAACAGCUGUGUGCGACUUCCUUCUCUGCUGUCCCGGUGAAAGUAGAUGUUACUGAAAUUUAAACAGAGCUAUACUCACCACAUAUGAGUGAGAGGAUGUUAGCCAAAGGGCUGCUAACUCGGCCAGCUAUAAGAAAGUUCCCAAUGGUAGGCCCUUUCGAACCAAAAGGGCUAUGGCUGGCUCCUUUGUGAUUCAGCAGACAGGCGUCUGCGCAGGCGUGAUAGACGUUAGGGAAUUGCACUUGUAUGAACGAUCAAAAUGGUCUUGUAUUUCUUCCAUCCGUGGUUUCUGGAUGCAGAGAGACCCUGUCCAGCAGACACUCAAGAUGGCCACUCACUGCCCCUGACCUCACUCAGAGUUCAGAGGGGAAGUAAGCAUCUGAUUUGUUCCAUAGCUAAGCCUCCAGGAAGAACUGUCCUAUGGAAUUGCAGCAUCCUCAGCUAGCUCAGCAUCAGCACCGCACCUGCACCUCUGCCUUGAGAGUAAGUGGAAGAAAUCCCUCUCCUCUCCUCCCCUCCCCUCUCUGCAACUUUGCCAGCAGCUAGUAAACUACAAAGCCAGCAAUCUACAGACAUGUUAGCAAGCAAGUAUACAGGUCACCCUUCAACAUACUCUGUAAGCUUGGGAAGUCUCCAGUCUGUCCCCGCUCUCUGACCAUCACGCUACUGGAACAUUUACUCCAAAGCAAACAAGACAGUAUUCUGUCAGCAGGAUCAGCCUUCUAGUCAGAUCAGCUCUAGACUGCUGUCAGUUCUGGGAUUUGCAGGGCCCUGCAGGGUAACACCAUCGCUUUCAAGAAAAGGUAAAGCCCAUAAAACCUAUAAAGGUAAAGCCCAUAAAACCUAUCUCAAACACACUUCAUACUCACUUAGGAUCUUACACUCCUUGGUACUGUUCUAAUUUAUUAGAUGUCAAUCCUGGAGAAACUGUCCAUGCCCACUCCAGGAGAGAGUUCUGGAAAUCACUCUGGAGUCUGGCCUCUCAGAGAGCUGCCACGUUGGACUGAUGGGUGCCUCAUUAUUAUCAUACCCUACAGUUCCUCUAGUUCCCCAAAUGGGACAUCUACUAAUUGUCACCUUACUGGCUAUGGACAUACAUUUGCACUAAUCCCUCCACAUGCCUUUGGAAACCAUUGCUCAAAUUUGCAAAGUAGGCUCUAGGAUGCAGUCCCAGCCUGCUUCACAGAACAAGGACAAGGGCAGGUUCCUCCAGAACAAGGCUGCCCUUUGUCUCCAUGGCCUGAUGCUCCUGCAACCCACUGUGAUCCCACAUGCCCACAUCCCCACCCCUCCAAAUCAGGAAGUCUGACCAAGAGAUCUUGUGAACUAGUUCAGCUAACUGCAGUGCAAGUCCCCCUCCUGCAAACAAGUUCCCUUGCCAAAGGUGCUGAGAUUUGCACUCAUCCUGACAUGCCUGGGGUCCAUCUAGCUUGUGCUAUUAAUAGCCACGCCAUGACACUAGCCCUCAGCUUAUUAAUAAUGCAUGACCAUUCCCACUUCGUUAGGAUACAAACGUCGCUCAUCUGCAUGAUUAGCUCUUAGCUUCCUGAUUAGAAUGCUUUAACCUGUCACAAGCAUGCCCUUUCUGGAUGAACGGAUCUUUUAAAGGGUACCAUGUUCUCUAAAGUACAGCUUAAAAUAAAAUUUAAAAACAAAAAGCACUGGCUCUUUAUUUUUUUCUGUGGAAUGAGAGAAAAACAGACUCGAAGUUUGGGG